UUAAUUAAAAAAUAAUAAAAUAAUAAUAAAUAGCUACAAACUCUCGACCACACCUCCCUCACCCCCAAAUCCUACAGCUCAGCUCCGCAGCACGAACUGCACUAUACUUUCCACUCUUCCAAAAUUACCCCUCACAAACUCCCUUAUUCACUACCAAACCACUCAUCUAUCAGAAAGUCAACAAUGGCAGUCUUGGGAAUCCACGUCUAACAUAACUGCUUCUUAGGAAUUUUCAACUACCCUCUACUUAAUCAAAAAAUCAAAACAAAGUUUGAAUUAAAAGAGAAAGCAGAAGAAAAAUCACAAGGAUCGGUGCGUCGAAUUACGAUGGAUGCCCCUGUCGAAGGAGGAUACGAAAGAGCAAGACGAUCGAAGAUAACCCGAGUUCUUGAAUUCGCAGCAAUUUUAGCUAUAUGGAUAUUGUUGCUAUAUCAAAUUAACAACCCCCGCCACGUUAAGUAUUGUUCGUUGAUCGGGCGCAAGGCGAAUAUGGGACGAAAUUUUAGUCUUGAUCAAGGAAGUAUUGGAGUUCAGCUCGACGGAAUCGGCUGGUUAGUUAGUUUUGACGACGAGAACGGCGUUCCACCUGGCGUUUUAUGAUGUACGAGAUAGUCGAAUUGUGUCGUGUGAUUGAAAUGUUCGCUAUAAGUGAGAAAAUUCUAAGUGAAUUUAUAUUCUAUAUCGGGUUCGUGUA
Molecule: non-coding RNA, 694 nt
Organism: Erythranthe guttata (spotted monkey flower)
Lineage: Eukaryota; Viridiplantae; Streptophyta; Magnoliopsida; Lamiales; Phrymaceae
Source: RefSeq, a predicted model, not a curated record